RNA transcript from Rosa rugosa (rugosa rose), 2515 nucleotides. It is a transcript of the gene named phosphoenolpyruvate carboxylase 4-like, with no coding region annotated. The transcript has 7 exons. The record is from RefSeq and is a predicted model, not a curated record. NCBI's taxonomy places the organism in Eukaryota, Viridiplantae, Streptophyta, Magnoliopsida, Rosales, Rosaceae.
AGUGCUUGUAGUAUGAGGCUGGCAGGGAUGGAGGACACGGCGGAGCUGCUGGAGAAGAAGCUAGCGUCGGAAAUUUCCAAGAUGAGCUUAGAGGAGGCACUCACUCUCGCUCCUGUUUUCAGCCAUUACCUCAAUUUGAUGGGCAUUGCUGAAGUUCAUCACAGGGUUUGUAGACAAAAGAAUGUAAAUCUUGUGAUGGUAUUUUUAUUCAGCUUCUGCAGCGUGGUGUUUCCCCAGACCAACUUUACGAUACUGUUUGCAAGCAGGAGGUCGAGAUUGUUCUUACUGCACAUCCUACACAAAUUAAUCGCGGAACCUUACAAUACAAACAUAUCAGACUUUCUCAUCUUUUAAAUUUAAGAUACCGACCUGAUCUUACUGGUGAAGACAGAGAUAUGGUGAUUGAAGAUCUGGUGCGAGAGAUAACUUCUGUAUGGCAAACAGAUGAGCAUAGGCACCAUAAACCCACACCAGUUGAUGAAGCUGGGGUAGGUAAACCACUUCAACAUUAGAUUCAUUGAUAUUCACAUGCUUUGGCUCUUUGAAAUCGUGUGUAUCACUUACAGACAAAAUUUGUAAUUACAAUUGUUGCUGCUGUGCUAGCAUAGAUGCAAAUUUCUCAAAUUCUAAGCUUGCUCCAAUCUGAAUUAUAUAUGUAGACAAUAUCAUGCUAUUGUCUUAAAUGCCUUUCUCAUCAAAUAAUUUAAUUGACUUCAUAGGAAAGAAUGUUAAAAUGCAAUUAGAAACUCAUUUGUUCAGACGACCAUACAUGUUAUUUAGGGGGUUAAGGUCAACAUGUCUUUUAGCUUAAUACUUUUUGAUGUGGUUUUGAUAUCAUAUUAUGUUGUACUGGAAAUCAAGUUGUUAGUUCUUAAUUCUUUCAAUUGCUUCCAGCAAUGCACUUCUGUAUUUCAUCAUGCACUUCUGAACAGUAAGGAAUGUGAUUACGGAAACUGCUCUCCUAUACUCUCCCUUCUCAGGAAUAUAGAGAAGCAAAUGUGAGAAUAUGUUAAUUAGUUUUUCUGUUUCACCUGAGUUCUGUACCAAUUGUUGAACCAAUCAAACUAAUAGUAAUAUAGUGUGCAACAGAAUUGGUAUAUGAUAGGAAGAGAGAAGACCAUUAUAGUAGUGCUGAUUAAUUGAAAUAAAAAUUGCUAAGCUGUGUCCAAUUUUUAUGUGUGAUACGUUGGUGAUCUCUUAUUUAGGAGGAUUGUUGGGUUGGGUGUCUCUAAUUUAGGCUUUAUGUGCAUUUCUAAUUGAAGAUGUUGAGCGGCUCUAGUCUAGCUUACUGAUUCUCUGAUUUUGAGUGGAUGCCUAGAAUUAAUCACCUUGAUGAUCAUUUGUACAAUUUCUUUCCUGGUAGGACUGGUCAUAAGUGAGAUUUUGGCUUCGUCCUAUCAGACUGAAGGACGCCUACAGUUCUUCUCUUUGUGUGAUUAAUGAAGGGGGAGAUGUUAAAAAUUAAAUGUGGUUUCCUUUAUCUGCCCAAAGCUAAAAGCCUGGCAUAUUUGUAAUCUUGCAGCUUGUAGGAAAGGGUGCUUUAGCUGAAGGAGACAAGAUCACCUUAGAAACUGCAAAGUUGUUGAGAGAGAAUUCUCUCGCGCAGGAUGCAUUUACUCCGGUGGACAGAUAUGAGAAAUUCUGCCCUUUCUACAAGUCUGUUUGGAUGAUGCAGAAUAUCAUCCAUUUCUUUAAUUUAGCAAAUCAGGUGAACUAUUCUGUUCAAAUCCUUUCUUGUAUGACCUACCAUUAUGUUUGAAGAAUUCAUGUCUAUUUAGGUUGAAGCAUUUUAGGGCAAGGAAAACAGAUAAUAUUGUCUUUCCCGGUCUUCUUUCUAGGAACCAAUCCCAGAAAGGUGCAACUUCAUUAGAUGUGACCCAAAGGAUUUCAUUGCCAUAAUACCGAAAAGGUGGCCGUUGUGACACAAUUUAUCAUUCUGAAGACCCAGUGCGGAUGAAAUCCAAGUCUGAACAUUAUAGCCUCCAAGAAACACCACUCAACCCUAUCAUAAGCCUUGGCCAUGUCAACUUUAUUAGAUGUUUAAUUAGAUAAGUGAAGGUAUCAAUGUCUACAGGCUAUAGAGAGAGCAGUUGAUAUGGAUGAUGAAAAGAUCAAUUAUAGUAUAAUUGAGCACCGUAUGGGAGAUCUCUUUUACCAUCUAAUGUCUAAAAAUUUGAGGAACCUGCUGAAGGCGAACAAGCUCUUGUGGCAAAAUUUAAGAAGCUACACGAUUACUUGACGAUUUGAGGAUGUAACUCGAUGAUUGGACUUAGACAUUUUCUAGAUGGUUCUAGUUGCUGUUAUAAAUUGCAUGGUGAUGACAAUUGGAGUUACUGUGGUUUUUGUUGUGCAUGAAAAAAGGCAGUGUUAGGUUUUUGUGACGCCAUUUUUGCUUUACUUAUGUGGCGGUUGCUCUAGUUUGGAUGUGUAGUUACAAUGAUUGUAUUCAUGUCACUCCCUUCAGGUUUUUACCCAGAAUAAGAGACUAGAUAUAUUUAAGCAAUACGGCAUUGAA